Molecule: long non-coding RNA, 232 nt
Filed under: Mytilus galloprovincialis (Mediterranean mussel)
Lineage: Eukaryota; Metazoa; Mollusca; Bivalvia; Mytilida; Mytilidae
Source: RNAcentral
GGCUUUUGCUGAUUUGCAUAUAUAACACGUGCUGUAGUUUCUCCCUGUCUAUACGACCUCCGUAAUUCAGCUUUGUGACGUCACAAAGCUGAAUUACGAAGACUGAGCAAGGUCGUAACGUAAGUAAGUAAUUUUUAUUGGUUUGAAAUCCAAAAUUACAGGAUUGAUACCAAGACAAUACAAAACAUACAAACAUAUAUAUCAUACCAAAUUCAUAAACAUUGUAUAUAUA